ACAAUUCACUCUUUGUCAUUUAUUACUUUUAUUUGGACAACAUAUAUACAUAUGUACAAAAUACCUACUGUCAGAAUCCUCUUUUAUAAUUUCAUUUGAUUUACAAAAACGGGACAGCAAAAUAACUUAGGUCACUAAUACUGUACAAAAAUAAAACUGAUUAAACAGUUGUAAAGAUCAGUAUCUUACAGUGUUACAGAUCAUUCAUCUGUUGUGAAAGAACAUCUCAAUCUAUCCAGAGUGAUGAGCGCUGUGCUAAAUCUACCUGCAAACUGACAACUAAUCAAUUUCUGUAAUAUGGCUACCAAAUAUAAUUCUCAAAAGAAGCAUGAUGUAGAGCUAGACCUUAAAGCCAGGGCAUCAUUCCACAGUGGUGAAGGGCUUUCUUCUUCCCUAACCAAGGAGAGGAGUUAUCUUAACUCUAAAACUAUUAAAUUUUCCAGAAUAUGACAACUACUUACAGUAUUAGAUAAAACGACUUUUCUUUCUUUUUAAACACCUGCAAUAGUCUUUCAAAAAAUUCAGUUUGGUUAAAAAAGUAAACAAAAAUUACUAUCCUGCAUUUGGAUUUUUAUAAGUUAAAUCCAUGGUCUUUUUAAUAUAAAAAGUAAUUGCUUCAUAGUUUUAGUGUUCAAUGAACUCUAGUAGUCCUAUUUGAACCAUAUCUCGAUAUAGUAAAUCUAAUUAGAAUGCUGGUUCCUGUUUCGUGACAUUUUAAAACAGGAUUUAUCACGAAGAAUAAAAAGCCUUGAGUUUAUACGUUACGUUACUAUAACAUAUAAGAGAAUAUCAAAUGUGUGUUCUUCAACAACUUGAAAAGGCAAGUAACAACUUUUUUUGGGAAGUAAAUUGUGCAUUUUUUUUUUUAAAACAAGUUGCUGCAUUUAUAUCCAUCUAAGUAAGUGCUGGACAAAAGCCACAUAUAGAUUUACUCCUGAAACUACAAAGAUUGUCUUUCACUGACUUUGCUUGGUUUUCCUUCAUUUCUUUCUGUGAGGGGAAGAUGAGUUUGUCCAAGUUGGUGGGUUGCUAGGCAACCCCAAACUCCUCACUCACUCAAAGGCAGCGUGCAGAGGAUCACAAGCAGGACCGUUCCAUGAGCUCAGUAAGAAAUAGACAGCCUAACCUAUUUCGUAUGGAAGAACAGAUGUCCUUGAAACUUAUUUUGGACACAGAAAUUAAAAUUUGGUUUAAAAUAAGCGUUUCAAAAAUCUGAAACAGAGGUAGAAAGUGUUCUUUAUUUUUCCUGACAUGUUUUCCCGUGAGAAAACACUUUCCUUUUUAUCUCAAUGGACUGUUCCCAGUCCCUAAUGUUAAAAGCAGUUCUCUUUAUAGAACUACUAAUACAACUACGUUGGUUAAACAAACAAAAAAAAAAUAACACCGUGCUAGUGAUGGCUAUUGUAUUGGAAGUCAGAGUCAGCCAGGACCCACGCCUGCCGUAGGAGCCCACACUGCUUCUGGACUGGAAACGCGCCUGUGUCGGGUGAAGUCACGAGUUCACCUUCAGGGAGGCCCCCUACGUUUGCACGACACAGCUUACAGCACGUGUAUAAAUGAGAGUGCACCAUAGCUCCCUGGUUUAUAUAUUGGAUAAAAUUGUCAGGAAGCAUGAUUUCUGACAAAAGAAAAUGUAAACAUUUCUCCCAUGGUCACUGCUGACUCUCUUACUUGAGGUUUCUUCUUCGCUAUGAAAACAGUUCAUUGUUCUGACCACGUGAAGGCCAAACUUAAGUUUUCAGGUAAAUGGCAUAUUAUGGAUGUAGUGGUUUAGGCCAUUGUAGACACCUGGAUAUAAGAUAGCUAGUGGUGAGGCUUCUGAUGUCAAAGGUACAGUGAUGUGUUCUCAUUCACACGUGUUCUGUGUACCCUCGUUUUCCAAAAGGGACCGUGCUGAAGUCACCUUGGAAAUCAUCAUGGUAUAUUCCCUUGGGGCUCCCUACUUACAGAGGGAUAUGCUUCUCUUUUCACAUGUCAGCUCCCUUUUCCUUUUACAUAACUCUUGCACCUGUUUGUGGGAGUUUGUAGGAACACGGGCAGGAGACCAACACACCUUUUUCUCCACCAAAUCGGUGUUUCCCGAGCAAGUUACUGUUUUGCACCCAUUCAAAUAAAACCCAACAGAGUCAAAACCCUCUCGCUUCGUGGCAUUAAAACAGUAAGGUGAUGUUAACUAAAAGGAUCGGAAAAUUUGGAAAAGUUAAUAGAGUUAAAAUUCUGUUUGUUCUUUUUGAUUUUUUUUUUUAAAUACUACCCUCCUCCUCCUUCAGCAUCUGUCGGAUGUAUUUUGCCCUCCCAUCUCUGCCAUGAUUUCAUAGGGAAAUGUGUAUACUAUAAAAAAAAAAAAGCAGAUUAUAACGUGGUUCCAAACAGAAUGUCUGCUUCUACCCUUAAAGCACGUAUUUAACUUAUUCAUCCUCUGCAUUAGAAAAUAAAAGUGCAGCUUAUGUUCAAAUAGUACAAUUCAUACAAAGCAAGGUUUAAAAGUUCUGUACUUAGUGUAACCUUUCAGAGGUUUGUCUUGAUUAGUAUAAAUUCAGACUGCUUACCCAUUGACUAUAAGUAACUUUUUUUUUGUGGUUUUUGUUUUUGUUUUCAAGUCUUUAGAUGACAGAUCAUGCUGGAGUAGAUGUGCUCUUGCUUGCAUAAAGACAGCUGUGCUAUGGCGUGUUUUUUGUUUUUUUUUUUUUUUUUUUUUUUUUUUGUUUUUUGCUUUUUUUUUUUUGUUUUUUUUUUUUUGUAUCUCAAAGGUUAACGUGAUUCAAGAGAGUGGUUUUUGCUAAAGAAACCGAAGCACACUCGUCAUUACAUCGAAAAAGGUAAGAAAACAAUUCUGGAGAGAGACAGCAAGCAGAAAGGGGCCCAGCGCCGCCCCGUGACGCCGCAGGUCCGCUCACCGGGUCAGACGUAUGUACACCAGUGUGGGAGCUUUAAAACUC
RNAcentral lists this long non-coding RNA (2939 nucleotides) under Canis lupus familiaris (dog). RNAcentral describes it as "lncRNA (ENSCAFG00845000641.1)". Lineage: Eukaryota; Metazoa; Chordata; Mammalia; Carnivora; Canidae. The record is from RNAcentral.